AUGCACGCUGGCGGCGUGCUUAACACAUGCAAGUCGAACGAUGAAGCCCAGCUUGCUGGGUGGAUUAGUGGCGAACGGGUGAGUAACACGUGAGUAACCUGCCCUUGACUCUGGGAUAAGCCUGGGAAACUGGGUCUAAUACUGGAUAUGACUUCUCAUCGCAUGGUGGGGGGUGGAAAGAUUUAUUGGUCUUGGAUGGACUCGCGGCCUAUCAGCUUGUUGGUGAGGUAAUGGCUCACCAAGGCGACGACGGGUAGCCGGCCUGAGAGGGUGACCGGCCACACUGGGACUGAGACACGGCCCAGACUCCUACGGGAGGCAGCAGUGGGGAAUAUUGCACAAUGGGCGCAAGCCUGAUGCAGCGACGCCGCGUGAGGGAUGACGGCCUUCGGGUUGUAAACCUCUUUCAGUAGGGAAGAAGCGAGAGUGACGGUACCUGCAGAAGAAGCGCCGGCUAACUACGUG
This 465-nucleotide ribosomal RNA is filed under the name uncultured bacterium. RNAcentral describes it as "partial 16S ribosomal RNA". It matches the Rfam family "Bacterial small subunit ribosomal RNA", at positions 29 to 507 of the family's 1533-position model. The record is from RNAcentral.